UGGCAAACUCUGCCUCGCAAGCAGCUGGGACUACAGGCAUGCUCCACGGUGCCCAGUUAAUUUUUUUUGUAUUCUUAGUAGAGACAGGGUUUCACCAUGUUGGCCAGGCUAGUCUUGAAUUUCUGACCUCAAGUGAUUCACCUCCCAAAGUGCUGGGAUUACAGGCGUGAGCCACCACGGCCGGCUAAUUUUUGUACUUUUUAGUAGUGACUGGUUUCGCGGUGUUGACCAGGCUGGUCUCGAACUCCUGAUCUCAGGCGGCUCACCUGAGGUCAGGAGUUGGAGACCAGCCUGGCCAACAUGCUGAAACCCUGUCUGUACAAAAAUACAAAAAUAGCUGGGCAUGGUGGCGCAUGCCUGUAGUCCCAGCUACUAGAGCGACUGAGGCAGGAGAAUUGCUUGAACCUGGGAGGCGGAGGUUGCAGGGAGCCAAGAUGGCGCCACCGCACUCCAGCCUAGGUGAUAGAGUGAGACUCCCUCUCAAAAACAAAACAAAACAAAAAAAUUAGACAAAUGCUACAUUAAUGUUUGGGUGGUCAGAUUCUACUUUGAAUCUGAAGUUUGCAGAUAUGCCUAUAGAUUUUUGGAGUUCACCACUUUCUUAUUCUGUAUCAUUAAUGUAAUAUUU
This 628-nucleotide small RNA is filed under the name Pan troglodytes (chimpanzee). RNAcentral describes it as "processed transcript". The record is from RNAcentral. Lineage: Eukaryota; Metazoa; Chordata; Mammalia; Primates; Hominidae.